AUUGAAGGAAAAUAAGGCAGAUUUUGGUUCAAUUUGGAUGAGCAUGAUCCUCACGUGUUGAUGUGUGCUUUUUAUAUGUGUGUGCAUGGCCGUUCUUAGUUGGUGGAGCAAUUUGUCUGGUUAAUUCCGAUAACGAAUGAGACUCUGGCAUGCUAACUCGUUACGUGACCCCUGAGCAGUCGGCGUCCAACUUCUUAGAGGGACAAGUGGCAUUCAGCCACCCGAGAUGGAGCAAUAACAGGUCUGUGAUGCCCUUAGAUGUCCGGGGCCACAUGUGCGCUACACUGACUGUCUCAGCUUGUGCCUACCCUCCGCCGGCAGGCACGGGUAACCCGUUGAACCCCAUUUGUGAUGGGGAUCGGGGAUUGCAAUUCUUCCCCGUGAACGAGGAAUUCCCCGUAAGUGUGGGUCAUAAGCUCGCGUUGAUUAAGCCCCUGCCGUUUGUACA
Molecule: non-coding RNA, 448 nt
Filed under: Antrostomus carolinensis (chuck-will's-widow)
Lineage: Eukaryota; Metazoa; Chordata; Aves; Caprimulgiformes; Caprimulgidae
Description: Caprimulgus carolinensis (chuck-will's-widow) Eukaryotic small subunit ribosomal RNA
Rfam family: Eukaryotic small subunit ribosomal RNA
Source: Rfam by way of RNAcentral